RNAcentral lists this ribosomal RNA (381 nucleotides) under uncultured eukaryote. RNAcentral describes it as "SSU rRNA". It matches the Rfam family "Eukaryotic small subunit ribosomal RNA", at positions 587 to 972 of the family's 1831-position model. The record is from RNAcentral.
AGCUCCAAUAGCGUAUAUUAAAGUUGUUGCGGUUAAAAAGCUCGUAGUUGGAUUUCUGUCAGAAACUCUCGGUCCACGCUUUGCGUGAGUAUCUGAGUAGGUUCCGGCAUCCUCUAGAGGAUCGUUUCUGCGCUUGAUUGCGUGGAGCGGAACUCUAGACUUUUACUUUGAGGAAAUUAGAGUGUUCACGGCAGGCAAACGCCUUGAAUACAUUAGCAUGGAAUAAUAACAUAGGGCCUUGGUUCUAUUUUGUUGGUUUCUAGAGCUGAGGUAAUGAUUAAUAGGGAUAAUUGGGGGCAUUUGUAUUAACGCGUCAGAGGUGGAAUUCUUGGAUUGCGUUACGACAAACUACUGCGAAAGCAUUUGCCAAGGAUGUUUUCA